This 468-nucleotide ribosomal RNA is filed under the name uncultured bacterium. RNAcentral's name for it is "partial 16S ribosomal RNA". It matches the Rfam family "Bacterial small subunit ribosomal RNA", at positions 28 to 507 of the family's 1533-position model. The record is from RNAcentral.
GACGAACGCUGGCGGCGUGCUUAACACAUGCAAGUCGAACGGAAAGGCCCUGCUUUUGUGGGGUGCUCGAGUGGCGAACGGGUGAGUAACACGUGAGUAACCUGCCCUUGACUUUGGGAUAACUUCAGGAAACUGGGGCUAAUACCGGAUAGGAGCUCCUGCUGCAUGGUGGGGGUUGGAAAGUUUCGGCGGUUGGGGAUGGGCUCGCGGCUUAUCAGCUUGUUGGUGGGGUAGUGGCUUACCAAGGCUUUGACGGGCAGCCGGCCUGAGAGGGUGACCGGCCACAUUGGGACUGAGAUACGGCCCAGACUCCUACGGGAGGCAGCAGUGGGGAAUAUUGCACAAUGGGCGGAAGCCUGAUGCAGCAACGCCGCGUGCGGGAUGACGGCCUUCGGGUUGUAAACCGCUUUCGCCUGUGACGAAGCGUGAGUGACGGUAAUGGGUAAAGAAGCACCGGCUAACUACGUG